UCCCCGUUACCGGGGCAGUCUGGCUAGAAAAAUACAACUAACCAUAAGGGUUGCGCUCGUUGAUGGACUUAACCAAACAUCUCACGACACGAGCUGACGACGGCCAUGCAGCACCUGUCACUUGGUUCCCGAAGGCACUCUCGGCUUUCGCCAAAAUUCCAAGGAUGUCAAGCCUGGGUAAGGUUCUUCGCUUACCAUCGAAUUAAACAACACGCUCCACCGCUUGUGCGGGUCCCCGUCAAUUCCUUUGAGUUUUAGUCUUGCGACCGUACUCCACAGGCGGGAUGCUUAACGCGUUAGCUGCGGCACGGAACCCGUGGAAUGGAUCCCACACCUAGCGCCCAACGUUUACGGUGUGGACUAC
RNAcentral lists this unclassified non-coding RNA (364 nucleotides) under uncultured bacterium. RNAcentral's name for it is "contains 16S-23S intergenic spacer region". The record is from RNAcentral.